GCUGGGAUAGCUCAGUUGGUAGAGCAUGACUUAGGGUCGUGGGUUUGAGCCCCAUGUUGGGCA
This 63-nucleotide transfer RNA is filed under the name Podarcis lilfordi (Lilford's wall lizard). RNAcentral describes it as "tRNA.Undet". The record is from RNAcentral. Lineage: Eukaryota; Metazoa; Chordata; Lepidosauria; Squamata; Lacertidae.